Long non-coding RNA from Panicum virgatum (switchgrass), 1906 nucleotides. RefSeq lists it as uncharacterized. The transcript has 5 exons. NCBI's taxonomy places the organism in Eukaryota, Viridiplantae, Streptophyta, Magnoliopsida, Poales, Poaceae. The record is from RefSeq and is a predicted model, not a curated record.
CCCCGACGGCGCCCCACCACCCCUGCUGUCGCCGCUCCCUCUCCCCAACGCCUCCCGAUUUCAGUUCUCCACGCCCCGAUGCCGCACCACCCUCCCAAGCCGCGCAACGCCGCUCUCAUCCUCCCGGCGCACCCGGCGCCGCACCCUCCUACCGAUGGGGCAUCGUCCUCACGCGCAGCUCGAUGCCGCACCCUCAUCGCGACGCCGCUCUCCUCCCGGCGCGCCCGGCUGCCGCACCCUCCUCCAGUCGGGGUUCCCCUCCCGACGGCGUCUCUGGAGAUCGAUCCCUGGGGUCCCCUACUGCCGCUGCUCUCCUCACGACGGUGCUUCCCUCGUGACGACGGCGCUCCCCUACUGCCGAUGCCGCUCCCUCGUUCCUGCUCUGCUCCCUCCUCCCGACAGCCGUCCAUCCGCCCGACGGGGAUCCCCUCCUGGCGACGCCGCUGCAUCCUCCUGAUGCCGCACCCUCCUCCCGUCGGCGUUCCGUGAGAUUGAUCCAUACUCCCGUCGCCGUCGCCGUCGCCCUGAACUGCCGACCGGAUCCUCCAUUAAGUUCACAGCUCGAAGCGUGAUCAUGGUUGAAGCGCUUGUGAUCCCUCGCCCCCGGCCGAAGAUUUAUGCACCUGAUGAUAAGCUACAUUUGCCACAUGCUUAGUGGACUAAUGUUCAACUGCACAAUUAAUCUAAAAGCUUCAGCUUUCAGAUAUACGUGGCUUAGCCAUAAUUUUGUUAUCCUCUAUUUUGCAGAUUAUCCGAUGGGCACCAUACUUCAUCCCAAAACAGUCUAAGCCCGAUGCUGUGCGACCAAUCUACCUCUCAGCAAGCUUGCACACCGUCUCCUUAACCUGUGCAUGUAUUUUUAAUCGCCCUCUCCGAUAAAGCCUUCUGGUGUGUCAGUCCAUCCUCCAUUCAAUUCAUUUAUAUGUUGUCUUGGUCUGCAAAUCUUCCAUGCCAUUGUUUGGCACUCAUUGUCAUAGGCUCAUUUUUCAUGGUGAAUCGGGAGGUUCGUGACUUUCAUUUUGGGUUUGCAAUUUUUAUUUGAGCUAUAGGAUUUGAUGAAAUAUGGGACCACCUCAGUUAUGUUUGAAAGGAAAUCCUGAUCCCAUAUAUAUCGAUAUGUUAUGAGUGAUGAUGUUGUGGAAGUGAAAGGCAAGGUGGCCUGCGAGAUAAGCUCAGCUGAUGAGAUAAAAUUGACAGAGCUUAUGUUUUGUGGCACUUUGAAGGAUGCUACCAUAUAAGAUAUGGUUUGGCAGAAGCUCCAGGAUGCCCAGAAGCCUAGGGAGGAGCUUGAUUUGCUCUUCUACCAAUUGCAGGAAACAGCGAGAAGGGUUGAUAACCUUCAGCUAGAGUGCAAGAUCCAAAUUGACUGGAAAGCUUUCUGAAUUAUUUCUGACCUGACAUAAUGGAAGCGGUGUAUUCAUGGGCCAUAGGGUCGAUCUACCAAAUCAUGGGGAUGACUCAAGUGUUUGAAGGCAGCUUGAACAGGGCCAUCAGGAGGCUGGAAGAGGCUCUGCAGCAGCUAAUUCUGGCAUCCAGGUCGAUUGGGGAAACCGAAUUGGAAGCAAAACUUGAGGCAGUCAGCAAGAUCAAGAGGGAUAGAUAUAGUAUUCGCUGUAUUUUUGUACUUGUAACAUAUCUUGAUGGCGUCAUGAUUUUGUAAAAGUGCAUAGAGAAAUUAAACCUCUCUUAGCUAUGUUGUUUCAAGUGCUGUUGGCCUGAUGGAACUGUCUAGUGGUAACAUGUAGUAGUGAUAUGGCAGGCAAAGUUUUGUUAGUGUUGUUAACCUUGUAGGGCAUGUUUGGAAUGCAAGAUGUAAGAAUGCAAGAUGUCCUAAGCUCUACCAGAAAUUCUGGAGAACCACAGGAACCGAUGUCGCUUGUACGCACUAAAAUCCAUUUUUUAUUUU